This 415-nucleotide ribosomal RNA is filed under the name uncultured bacterium. Its description in RNAcentral is "bacterial SSU rRNA". It matches the Rfam family "Bacterial small subunit ribosomal RNA", at positions 355 to 786 of the family's 1533-position model. The record is from RNAcentral.
UCGGGAAUAUUGCGCAAUGGAGGAAACUCUGACGCAGUGACGCCGCGUGCAGGAAGAAGGUUUUAGGAUUGUAAACUGCUUUAGACAGGGAAGAAAAAAGACAGUACCUGUAGAAUAAGCUCCGGCUAACUACGUGCCAGCAGCCGCGGUAAUACGUAGGGAGCAAGCGUUAUCCGGAUUUAUUGGGUGUAAAGGGUGCGUAGACGGGAAUACAAGUUGGUUGUGAAAUCCCUCGGCUCAACCGAGGAACUGCAACCAAAACUAUAUUUCUUGAGUGCUGGAGAGGAAAGUGGAAUUCCUAGUGUAGCGGUGAAAUGCGUAGAUAUUAGGAGGAACACCGGUGGCGAAGGCGACUUUCUGGACAGUAACUGACGUUGAGGCACGAAAGUGUGGGGAGCAAACAGGAUUAGAUACC